ACGGGGGGGGCAAGCGUUGUUCGGAAUUACUGGGCGUAAAGCGUGCGCAGGCGGUUUUGUAAGCCAGAUGUGAAAGCCCCGGGCUUAACCUGGGAAUGGCAUUUGGGACUGCAAGGCUUGAGUGCGGCAGAGGAGACUGGAAUUCCCGGUGUAGCAGUGAAAUGCGUAGAUAUCGGGAGGAAUACCGAUGGCGAAGGCAGGUCUCUGGGCUGACACUGACGCUCAUGCACGAAAGCGUGGGGAGCAAACAGGA
RNAcentral lists this ribosomal RNA (253 nucleotides) under uncultured prokaryote. RNAcentral describes it as "partial 16S ribosomal RNA". It matches the Rfam family "Bacterial small subunit ribosomal RNA", at positions 525 to 777 of the family's 1533-position model. The record is from RNAcentral.